GACGAACGCUGGCGGCGUGCUUAACACAUGCCAAUCGAACGGUGAAGGGACUGGUUUUGCUGGUCCUGGAUGAGUGGCGAACGGGUGAGUAACACGUGAGUAACCUGCCCCCUUCUUCUGGAUAACCGCAUGAAAGUGUGGCUAAUACGGGAUAUUCUGGGUCUGUCGCAUGGUGGGCCUGGGAAAGAUUGCGCCUUUUUUGGUGUUUUUGGUGGGGGAUGGGCUCGCGGCCUAUCAGCUUGUUGGUGGGGUGAUGGCCUACCAAGGCGGUGACGGGUAGCCGGCCUGAGAGGGUGGACGGGCACACUGGGACUGAGACACGGCCCAGACUCCUACGGGAGGCAGCAGUGGGGAAUAUUGCACAAUGGGCGCAAGCCUGAUGCAGCGACGCCGCGUGAGGGAUGGAGGCCUUCGGGUUGUGAACCUCUUUCGCCAGUGAAGCAGGCCUGCCUCUUUUUGUGGGUGGGUUGACGGUAGCUGGAUAAGAAGCGCCGGCUAACUACGUG
RNAcentral lists this ribosomal RNA (506 nucleotides) under uncultured bacterium. RNAcentral's name for it is "partial 16S ribosomal RNA". It matches the Rfam family "Bacterial small subunit ribosomal RNA", at positions 28 to 507 of the family's 1533-position model. The record is from RNAcentral.